UACGUAGGUCGCAAGCGUUGUCCGGAUUUACUGGGCGUAAAGAGCGCGCAGGCGGCUGGUCAAGUCCGAUGUGAAAUCUCCCGGCUUAACUGGGAAACUGCAUCGGAAACUGAUCGGCUUGAAGGUGGGAGAGGGUAGUGGAAUUCCCGGUGUAGUGGUGAAAUGCGUAGAUAUCGGGAGGAACACCAGUGGCGAAGGCGACUACAUGGCCCAUUCUUGACGCUGAGGCGCGAAAGCUAGGGGAGCGAACGGG
This 253-nucleotide ribosomal RNA is filed under the name uncultured bacterium. RNAcentral describes it as "partial 16S ribosomal RNA". It matches the Rfam family "Bacterial small subunit ribosomal RNA", at positions 524 to 776 of the family's 1533-position model. The record is from RNAcentral.